Long non-coding RNA from Mandrillus leucophaeus (drill), 299 nucleotides. RefSeq lists it as uncharacterized. The record is from RefSeq and is a predicted model, not a curated record. Lineage: Eukaryota; Metazoa; Chordata; Mammalia; Primates; Cercopithecidae. The transcript is spliced from 2 exons.
AAUGUCAUCGACAAGUUUCAGAAAUAUCUCGUCCACAUUGAAGUUAUCCUUGGCACUUGCUUCACAGAACCGCAUCCCAGUUAUUUGCUGUGCAAACUGAGAAGAAACACACACUUAUUUCCUCUGUGUGGGUGUCACACAGACCAGCGUGCGAGCAUGAGAAUGAAUUUAAAGGAGCAGGAAGUCAAAACAGCACAAACAAAUGAGGAGGAUGUGACUGAGUUAUCACUGUAUCAAUCAUUUCUUCGUAAUUUUUAAAGUAAGUAAUUUAUUAAAAGAAACAGUACCUCAAGCGCUAA